UAACUGGAACUAGAAUCAAUGCUGGACUAAGUCUCAAGAGGAUAAAGAUUAUUGCAUUUUCUGGAAAAUAAGGAAUCAUUCAUAUGGAAUGUAACUCAAAGCUUCAAAGAGGAAACAAGGAAAAGGUGGGUAUCCUUAAGGAUACUAUUGAUAGGCAUCAGUUCUGAGCAAAGGAAGAUUCCUAAGGAUGAAGUUCCAGAAGAACAUGUCCUGCUAGUACACCACCUGAAACCUGCAGGUGAUCAUUCUGGGCAGAUAGAAAAGCGAUAUGAUUACCUAGUUGCCUUCAAAAAAGCUGCUAUAUUUACCUUUACCAAACAAAGUUUUGCUAUAAUAAGUUCUUUGAAAAUAAAAAUUAAGUAAAGAGUUGUAUCAGAGCUACAUGGUUUGGAGGAUCUGACCACUAACUGCAGCAGUGAAUAAAGAGGAAAUUGCAAAAAAAUAUAUUUUUCUUGGAAGGAGAGCUUCCUAGGAACAGCUGCAGCCUGAAGUGAAAGAGCACCACAAGUGCCCUUUCAUGCUGCGUCAGUCAGGUCAAGAGGAGACCACAACUCUGUCACACCACUUGACGAGUGAAAAAUAUGCAAGUAGAGCUCCCCACAAGAUAGGCACAUUCUCGCCUGUUGUGGUUUUGUGUGUUUUUUAGUUUGUUUGUUGUUUUAUUGUUUUGUUUUGUUUUCCCAUAGGAUUUGCUCUGACUAUAGCCUUUGACAUGUGACUUUUGGGCACCAGAACUAAGAAAGAUAGUGGGGAGUUGGGUGAAAGAGAGCUAAUUCUUCAUUAUCCCCUCUAGGAAAACCUGCAGCUGUGUGUUUAGUCUAUUUGAAUUAAUGUUAACUUGUAACGUCAUGUUGUCUUUGAGGUUCCACAUCUUACAUUUUAUUUUAAGAUUUUUUGUUCACUGGAAGAAAUAUGGGAGUACAUAGCUAUGUUUUAUACCUUUGCAAAUUAAGUAUAUUUCUGUUAAUAAGGUGAAAGCUUAAGCACUAACACAAAUGCUAACAUAUUAAAUGUUUUUCACAGAUAUGUAUUCUUCAUUAAGAAAAAUCAGAUAAAGUAUGGAUAAAUAUUCUGGUAUGUAAAAUUCCCUAAGAUAUAAAUCAUACAGAAAAAAGGAGGAAUUCAUUUGGCUAAAUGUACACACUAAGAGUGUGAAUGCCUGCACUUGAGCUAAUCACUUUAGGCUCCCCAGUAGUCAAAGGAGAGAAACAGCAUCUUCUAGGUCACAAUUCCUCUUAUCCUAAAAUAGGCAUCUGAAGUAGGUCAGAUGAACUGCGCCACGAGAGUGCCUCUUAUUCUCUACCAACUAUAAAGGGAGCCCUGGUUGAUUAAUUCAGAUUCAGUGUAGAUGUUUAAGGAUGAUGAGAUGAAUCGCAUUCAGGGAAUCUAGAAUGACUAUUAAGAGACCUACAACAAAAAGUGAGAAUUCUUGUUUUCCAGAGGUAUAGAAUACAACCAAGAUAAUUGCAUGCAUUUAGACACUGACUUUAGGUUCCUAAGUAAUUUAGGCAAUUUGGCAUAUUUUAUGUCAUAUAGUAUUUUCUUUUUUGCUCAGAGAGACUAUUGUCAACUUCUUAUCACUGUAUUUUAAUCUUAUGAUCCAUGACUCAUAUUCACUUUCUUUAAGAGAGA
Long non-coding RNA from Columba livia (rock pigeon), 1632 nucleotides. RefSeq lists it as uncharacterized. The record is from RefSeq and is a predicted model, not a curated record. Lineage: Eukaryota; Metazoa; Chordata; Aves; Columbiformes; Columbidae. The transcript is spliced from 3 exons.